UAAUACGUAGGGUGCGAGCGUUGUCCGGAAUUAUUGGGCGUAAAGGGCUCGUAGGCGGUCUGUUGCGUCAGGAGUGAAAACUCGGGGCUUAACCCCGAGCCUGCUUCUGAUACGGGCAGACUAGAGGUAUGCAGGGGAGAACGGAAUUCCUGGUGUAGCGGUGAAAUGCGCAGAUAUCAGGAGGAACACCGGUGGCGAAGGCGGUUCUCUGGGCAUUACCUGACGCUGAGGAGCGAAAGUGUGGGGAGCGAACAGGAUUAGAUACCCUGGUAGUCCACACCGUAAACGUUGGGCGCUAGGUGUGGGACUCAUUCCACGAGUUCCGUGCCGCAGCUAACGCAUUAAGCGCCCCGCCUGGGGAGUACGGCCGCAAGGCUA
RNAcentral lists this ribosomal RNA (378 nucleotides) under uncultured bacterium. RNAcentral describes it as "bacterial SSU rRNA". It matches the Rfam family "Bacterial small subunit ribosomal RNA", at positions 521 to 896 of the family's 1533-position model. The record is from RNAcentral.